Long non-coding RNA from Sorex fumeus (smoky shrew), 463 nucleotides. RefSeq lists it as uncharacterized. The transcript has 3 exons. The record is from RefSeq and is a predicted model, not a curated record. Lineage: Eukaryota; Metazoa; Chordata; Mammalia; Eulipotyphla; Soricidae.
UAGACCAACAUUUGAGAAUGCCAGAACACAGAGUUGUGGCAAACGGUUUAGGGUCAAUGACCAUCUGGAGUAUGACUGUCACCCUGGAUAUGAAAACAAACAUGGAAACACCUCAGGGACCAUAGUAUGUGGUGACAGUGGCUGAUCUGAUACACCAACAUGUUUUGAUCCUAAAGAAAAAUGUGGACACCCUCCAGCCAUUGACAAUGGAGACAUUACCUCAAUGCCUUUAGAAGAAUAUGUUCCAGGAUCAUUAGUUAAGUACAAAUGUCAGUCCUACUAUAAACAACAGGGAAAUAGUACCAUACUAUGUAAUAAAGGAAAGUGGACAAUACCACCAGAAUGUUUAGAUUCUUGUGUGAUAUCAGAAGACAUCAUGGAUAAACAUAAUAUACAAAUACAAGAGAGAAGAGGAAAAGAGAUUUAUUUUCAAUGGGGGGGAAACUGUUAAAUUUAUGUGUAA